This 440-nucleotide ribosomal RNA is filed under the name uncultured bacterium. Its description in RNAcentral is "partial 16S ribosomal RNA". It matches the Rfam family "Bacterial small subunit ribosomal RNA", at positions 338 to 795 of the family's 1533-position model. The record is from RNAcentral.
CCUACGGGAGGCUGCAGUGGGGGAUAUUGCACAAUGGGGGGAACCCUGAUGCAGCGACGCCGCGUGGGGGAAGAAGCGCCUCGGCGCGUAAAGCUCUGUCAGCAGGGAAGAAAAUGACGGUACCUGAAGAAGAAGCCACGGAUAACUACGUGCAAGCAGCCGCGGGAAUACGCAGGGGGCAAGGGUUAUCCGGAUUUACUGGGUGUAAAGGGGGCGCAGACGGCGUUGCAAGCCAGGAGUGAAAGCGCGGGGCCCAACCCCGGGACUGCUCUUGGAACUGCGGGGCUGGAGUGCAGGAGGGGCAGGCGGAAUUCCUGGUGUAGCGGUGAAAUGCGUAGAGAUCAGGAGGAACACCGGUGGCGAAGGCGGCCUGCUGGACUGCAACUGACGUUGAGGCCCGAAAGCGUGGGGAGCAAACAGGAUUAGAUACCCUGGUAGUC